RNAcentral lists this ribosomal RNA (730 nucleotides) under bacterium SCSIO13042. RNAcentral's name for it is "bacterial SSU rRNA". It matches the Rfam family "Bacterial small subunit ribosomal RNA", at positions 74 to 817 of the family's 1533-position model. The record is from RNAcentral.
CGGAGCUUGCUCUGGUGGAUUAGUGGCGAACGGGUGAGUAACACGUGAGUAACCUGCCCUUGACUCUGGAAUAAGCGUUGGAAACGACGUCUAAUACCGGAUACGAGCUUCCGCCGCAUGGUGAGGAGCUGGAAAGAAUUUCGGUCAAGGAUGGACUCGCGGCCUAUCAGGUAGUUGGUGAGGUAAUGGCUCACCAAGCCUACGACGGGUAGCCGGCCUGAGAGGGUGACCGGCCACACUGGAACUGAGACACGGUCCAGACUCCUACGGGAGGCAGCAGUGGGGAAUAUUGCACAAUGGGCGCAAGCCUGAUGCAGCAACGCCGCGUGAGGGACGACGGCCUUCGGGUUGUAAACCUCUUUUAGUAGGGAAGAAGCGAAAGUGACGGUACCUGCAGAAAAAGCACCGGCUAACUACGUGCCAGCAGCCGCGGUAAUACGUAGGGUGCAAGCGUUAUCCGGAAUUAUUGGGCGUAAAGAGCUCGUAGGCGGUUUGUCGCGUCUGCUGUGAAAACUGGGGGCUCAACCCCCAGCCUGCAGUGGGUACGGGCAGACUAGAGUGCGGUAGGGGAGAUUGGAAUUCCUGGUGUAGCGGUGGAAUGCGCAGAUAUCAGGAGGAACACCGAUGGCGAAGGCAGAUCUCUGGGCCGUAACUGACGCUGAGGAGCGAAAGCAUGGGGAGCGAACAGGAUUAGAUACCCUGGUAGUCCAUGCCGUAAACGUUGGGAACU